GAAACCUCUCAUUUUCUUCUACCUUCUUCUUCUCCGUAAUCAAUCUUCAACAAAAUUGAAGAAAAUAAACGAGAAAAACCCUAGAUUCGGUGAAACCAUUACAAAAUCAAUUGAAACCAUCACAAAAUCAACUGAAAAACCAGAUCUAACCAAAAAAAUUGUGAAAAGAAGAAGAAAAAUAUGUUGAUACUCAAUCAACAACAAAGAAGAAGAAGAAGAAAUUUGUUGGUAUUCAACCAACAACAACGAAGAGAAAAGAGAUAAUGUAGUGCAUGAUGUUCAAGUGAAAGAUGGAGAUAAUGUAGUACAGGAUGCACCAUUAUAGACGAAUCAGCCGUGCAAGAUGGGUUCUAUCUCUCCAAAAUUUUCGUUCCUUGUUAUUUCAGGAAGUUCGAGUGCGGUUCGCAGGAUCACUCCAGAUGAGUAUGAGUUGCUUAAUGUAAGGAAGCAUGUAAGGCAUAGCUCUAUCCUUUAUUUAGCAGCAGAAUGUGGUGCACUACUUCCUGGAGACUUGGUAUUCCGUUUUCUGGAAAAGCAAGUCCAAGCUUUUUACUUAGAUGCCCAUGUACUUAAUGCACAAAUAUGGAGACACGAUGUUCGUGGAUGUUGUUGUAGAUUUCUUGUGCAUUAUGAUCAUGACCAGUUUGUAAUGGUUUAUGAUCAAUAUUCUUCUCAACGCAAAAUGUCGACUUAUGUGCUGACUGUUUACCUAGUAGACAUAGAUAUGUAUUGUA
Long non-coding RNA from Papaver somniferum (opium poppy), 734 nucleotides. RefSeq lists it as uncharacterized. NCBI's taxonomy places the organism in Eukaryota, Viridiplantae, Streptophyta, Magnoliopsida, Ranunculales, Papaveraceae. The record is from RefSeq and is a predicted model, not a curated record. The transcript has 3 exons.